This 146-nucleotide small nuclear RNA is filed under the name Solanum tuberosum (potato). RNAcentral describes it as "snRNA U1". It matches the Rfam family "U1 spliceosomal RNA". From Rfam's summary of the family: U1 is a small nuclear RNA (snRNA) component of the spliceosome (involved in pre-mRNA splicing). Its 5' end forms complementary base pairs with the 5' splice junction, thus defining the 5' donor site of an intron. The record is from RNAcentral. Lineage: Eukaryota; Viridiplantae; Streptophyta; Magnoliopsida; Solanales; Solanaceae.
AUACUUAUCUGGACGGGGUGAUCAAUAAGACCUAUGGCCUAGGCUGGUGACUUCCAUUGCACUUUGGAAGGGUGGAAGCCUAAGGUCGGCCCAAGUGGGCGUUGGUCCCAUUCAGGUGUUUGUUUGGAAUGAAUUUUCUUUGCAAA